UCAACAAUAUCAUCACUCAUCACCACUAUUAGCCUCUACCAUCAUCCUAAUAAGUCACAUCUAGAGCUGGGGCUGUAAACUGUGUACCCUGCAUCAUUUGUGCCAUCAUGUUUUGCAUCAUUUAUUGCAUACACUCCUCUAGCAUCUACUCGCAUUGGCGGUAUCUCUCCUCCAGCAUCAGCUAGGUCUCUCUCCUCCAUUGCAGCCAAACUAUCUUUUAGCAUUGCAAUAGUCUGAUGCAAUUGUUAAAUUUCUUCCUCCAUUGCCUCCAAUUGAGCAUGAUGGGAUGCAGUAGAA
Molecule: unclassified non-coding RNA, 297 nt
Filed under: Hevea brasiliensis (rubber tree)
Lineage: Eukaryota; Viridiplantae; Streptophyta; Magnoliopsida; Malpighiales; Euphorbiaceae
Source: RNAcentral